AUGGCAGCCCAGGGCUAUGGCUAUUAUCGCACUGUGAUCUUCUCAGCCAUGUUUGGGGGCUACAGCCUGUAUUACUUCAAUCGCAAGACCUUCUCCUUUGUCAUGCCAUCAUUGGUGGAAGAGAUCCCUUUGGACAAGGAUGAUUUGGGGCUCAUCACCAGCAGCCAGUCGGCAGCUUAUGCUAUCAGCAAGUUUGUCAGUGGGGUGCUGUCUGACCAGAUGAGUGCUCGCUGGCUCUUCUCUUCUGGGCUGCUCCUGGUUGGCCUGGUCAACAUAUUCUUUUCCUGGAGCUCCACAGUACCUGUCUUUGCUGCCCUCUGGUUCCUUAAUGGCCUGGCCCAGGGGCUGGGCUGGCCCCCAUGUGGGAAGGUCCUGCGGAAGGUGAGUGCUUCCAAAGAGCCUGUUUGGAUUGUCAUAGAGGAUGCCUAAAGAGCAUGUGGGAGCGCCCCUUCUUACCCACCACCUCCACACCGAACCCAGAGCAGGUUCCUGAGCGGUUCCUGGCCAGCUCCUAUUGCUUGUCAAGAUAUUUUAGGAGGCUGAGAGUGGUGGGGUCAGGUGGCAGAGGAGGAAACUGCCCUGCCAAACAGAAGCGCCCUCUCCCUCUUCCCUGUAAUGUGAGCUUCUGGGGCUGCCCCACCUGACCCCACCCUCAACAUGGGCAGUAGGCUGGACACCUAUGUUGUCGCCCUCUGCCCCACAGUGGUUUGAGCCAUCUCAGUUUGGCACUUGGUGGGCCAUCCUAUCAACCAGCAUGAACCUGGCUGGAGGGCUGGGCCCUAUCCUGGCAACCAUCCUCGCCCAGAGCUACAGCUGGCGCAGCACGCUGGCCCUGUCUGGGGCACUGUGUGUGGUUGUCUCCUUCCUCUGUCUCCUGCUCAUCCACAAUGAACCUGCUGAUGUUGGACUCCGCAACCUGGACCCCAUGCCCUCUAAGGGCAAGAAGGGCUCCUUGAAGGAGGAGAGCACCCUACAGGAGCUGCUGCUGUCCCCUUACCUGUGGGUGCUCUCCACUGGUUACCUUGUGGUGUUUGGAGUAAAGACCUGCUGUACUGACUGGGGCCAGUUCUUCCUUAUCCAGGAGAAAGGACAGUCAGCCCUUGUAGGCGGGACUGUCCAACUAUGGGAACCCUCGCCAUGGCCUGUUGCUGUUCAUGAUGGCUGGCAUGACAGUGUCCAUGUACCUCUUCCGGGUAACAGUGACCAGUGACUCCCCCAAGCUCUGGAUCCUGGUAUUAGGAGCUGUAUUUGGUUUCUCCUCGUAUGGCCCCAUUGCCCUGUUUGGAGUCAUAGCCAAUGAGAGCGCCCCUCCCAAAUUGUGUGGCACCUCCCACGCCAUUGUGGGACUCAUGGCCAAUGUGGGCGGCUUUCUGGCUGGGCUGCCCUUCAGCACCAUUGCCAAGCACUACAGUUGGAGCACAGCAUUCUGGGUGGCUGAAGUGAUUUGUGCAGCCAGCACAGCUGCCUUCUUCCUCCUACGAAACAUCCGCACCAAGAUGGGCCGAGUGUCCAAGAAGGCUGAGUGA
RNAcentral lists this small RNA (1526 nucleotides) under Pongo abelii (Sumatran orangutan). Its description in RNAcentral is "retained intron". The record is from RNAcentral. Lineage: Eukaryota; Metazoa; Chordata; Mammalia; Primates; Hominidae.